AUCCAGCUGAAGAAGCCCACAUAGGACGAAACGCGCGUCCUGGAU
Molecule: non-coding RNA, 45 nt
Filed under: Schistosoma margrebowiei
Lineage: Eukaryota; Metazoa; Platyhelminthes; Trematoda; Strigeidida; Schistosomatidae
Source: RNAcentral